RNAcentral lists this non-coding RNA (45 nucleotides) under Schistosoma margrebowiei. Lineage: Eukaryota; Metazoa; Platyhelminthes; Trematoda; Strigeidida; Schistosomatidae. The record is from RNAcentral.
AUACAACUGAUGAGUCCCAAAUAGGACGAAACGUGCGUCAUGGAU